GGACCCAUACCACCUUACAAUGCCCAAUCUCGUCUCAUCUUGGAAGCUAAGUCGGGUUGCGCCUGGUUAGUACAUGGAUGGCAGACCGCUAUCAGUCUACCCCAGGGCUGUGGCUCCU
RNAcentral lists this ribosomal RNA (118 nucleotides) under Periophthalmus magnuspinnatus. Lineage: Eukaryota; Metazoa; Chordata; Actinopteri; Gobiiformes; Gobiidae. The record is from RNAcentral.